Ictalurus furcatus (blue catfish) is the source of this 238-nucleotide long non-coding RNA. RefSeq lists it as uncharacterized. Lineage: Eukaryota; Metazoa; Chordata; Actinopteri; Siluriformes; Ictaluridae. The transcript has 3 exons. The record is from RefSeq and is a predicted model, not a curated record.
GCUGGAUUAUCUGAAGUGUAGGAAACACGACUCUAAUCUGUGGCAGUGUCCAUCUUCACCCUGGGGACAGAACAGAUGUGAUAAUGGUGAUGAGGUGGCUCGUAUUACCUGCACAGAUGAUGGAAAGUCUCUACGUACACAAGAAAAGUGCUCUUCAUUUCCCUCUCAGAAACACUGCUCAAAGCACUGGUCUCUCAGGCUGAGUGGAGUAGAGGGAAGCUGCUCUGGGAGGUUGGAG